UACGUAGGGUGCGAGCGUUUGUCCGGAAUUACUGGGCGUAAAGAGUUCGUAGGCGGUUUGUCGCGUCGUUUGUGAAAACCCGGGGGCUCAACUUCGGGCUUGCAGGCGAUACGGGCAGACUUGAGUGUUUCAGGGGAGACUGGGAAUUCCUGGUGGUAGCGGUGAAAUGCGGCAGAUAUCAGGAGGAACACCGGUGGCGAAGGCGGGUCUCUGGGAAACGAACUGACGCUGAGGAACGAAAGCGUGGGUAGCAAACAGG
This 259-nucleotide ribosomal RNA is filed under the name uncultured bacterium. RNAcentral's name for it is "partial 16S ribosomal RNA". It matches the Rfam family "Bacterial small subunit ribosomal RNA", at positions 524 to 776 of the family's 1533-position model. The record is from RNAcentral.